Molecule: ribosomal RNA, 468 nt
Filed under: uncultured bacterium
Lineage: Bacteria
Description: partial 16S ribosomal RNA
Rfam family: Bacterial small subunit ribosomal RNA
Source: RNAcentral
GACGAACGCUGGCGGCGUGCUUAACACAUGCAAGUCGAACGGAAAGGCCCUGCUUUUGUGGGGUGCUCGAGUGGCGAACGGGUGAGUAACACGUGAGUAACCUGCCCUUGACUUUGGGAUAACUUCAGGAAACUGGGGCUAAUACCGGAUAGGCGCUCCUGCUGCAUGGUGGGGUUUGGAAAGUUUCGGCGGUUGGGGAUGGACUCGCGGCUUAUCAGCUUGUUGGUGGGGUAGUGGCUUACCAAGGCUUUGACGGGUAGCCGGCCUGAGAGGGUGACCGGCCACAUUGGGACUGAGAUACGGCCCAGACUCCUACGGGAGGCAGCAGUGGGGAAUAUUGCACAAUGGGCGGAAGCCUGAGGCAGCAACGCCGCGUGCGGGAUGACGGCCUUCGGGUUGUAAACCGCUUUCGCCUGUGACGAAGCGUGAGUGACGGUAAUGGGUAAAGAAGCACCGGCUAACUACGUG